This 629-nucleotide long non-coding RNA is filed under the name Phoenix dactylifera (date palm). RNAcentral's name for it is "long non-coding RNA (PDAC_LNC020286)". Lineage: Eukaryota; Viridiplantae; Streptophyta; Magnoliopsida; Arecales; Arecaceae. The record is from RNAcentral.
GAGGGCUAAGCAUGAAUUUCAGAAAUUUUUAUGCGGAAAGAAUGGGUUAAACAUUUUAACCCAUAACAUGCUUGAUAUUUUAGAUAUUUUAACUCUGGUACCAGUCGAAGACAAUCUUCAACUGCACAUCACAUGUGGUACGGGCUCAGUCCCAAUACAUAGGGUGACACCCGCACGUGCCUAUCAAAGCACUCAUCAUAUGAGCCCCCGGGUGGAGAGCCACGCUUCGUCACACGAUCACGCGUGAGAGUUUCCGGGAAUUGGAUAGUCUCCACUAAUCCUUUGCUUUGACACCAAAUAUCACAAAGCCCUCAGAUCCCGAGGAUUGUGUGAUUCGAAUAAAUAUGCAUAAAUCACAAUUUCUUGUGAUUUGAAGAUUGAGAUUAUAUCUCAACCGUAAAAGAGAUCAGGUCUCUUACCUUUAGAAGGGGGUUCCUUCAAGGAUGCUUCGCAGCCGCACAAGCGUCCGGCCUCGAUGACUCGUCCACGCGAAGCUCCGGAAUGAUCAACUUCCUGGGGAGUGCUAGCUCGCAGGGAGGCAGAAGGUUGGCUGAAAUGGAGAAGGAAGAAGAUGGACCUUCACAGCUCAAGAACUCCUUCUUGGGCUUUCACCUUCAGAGCUACUCUUU